Long non-coding RNA from Gossypium raimondii (Peruvian cotton), 832 nucleotides. RefSeq lists it as uncharacterized. The transcript has 2 exons. Lineage: Eukaryota; Viridiplantae; Streptophyta; Magnoliopsida; Malvales; Malvaceae. The record is from RefSeq and is a predicted model, not a curated record.
GCUGCUGGCGUUGGGCUGGCUGGCCUGAUAGGCCUGCUGUUGGGCCUGGCGUUGGGUUGGGUCUGCACUUGGGCUGUUUUUGGCCUGUUUCUUUUUUUUUUUGCUUUUGCCCUUUUUUUUGUUUUUUUUUCUUUGGGCUGCUGGGCUUGGCCUGGGUAUGCAGGUGGCGGGUCGGGUCGCAGUGUUCGGGUCAGAGUCGGUUCGGUUUGACCCGACUGUUAAAUAUUUUUUUUCUUUUUUCUUUUUCUUCCUUCUUCUUCUUCCUUCUUCUUCUUCCUUCCUUCCUUCUUUCUCUUUUUCUUCUUCUUUCUCCUUCUUCUUCUCCGUUCGGCCUCCUUCACGCCGCCGCUGCACCGCCGUCGCUCCUCCCCUCUCUUCCUUUCUUUCCUCUUCCUCUUUCUUUUUGCUGCUGAAAAAAUGUGGCAGGUGGGGAAGGCCAUGCCCUAGGCCGGCGGCCGGAAAUCGUGGGGCAGGUGCACGAAAUCCGUCUGAUUAUUGGGGAUUUUCUGACAUAAGGACCAAUUUGUAAAUGCAGCAAAAGUUUUGGGGCCGAAACAAAAUUCUGAGAAAGUUUAGGGGUCAAAACGUAAUUUCAAAAAGUUUAUGGGUCAAAAUGUAAUUUUAUGAAAUUUAGGGGUUAAAAUGAAAUUUCAAAAAGUUUAGGGGUUAAAUGUAAUUUUUUAUUUUUUGUAUUUUUUUUGAAUUUUUUUGUAAAAGAAACGAAAUCGAGCCGGACAAAAUUCAGUGAUUACAGAAAGUAGUCACUUUCCUGAGAAAUUAAUCAGUUAGAAAGUGAUUCUAAUGUCUAAAUAAAUAUAUCCAAUUUUAUUUA